GUUCUUGAUUAUAGAAGAGAGGAAUGAAUAUAGAUAUAGAUAUAGAUAUAGAUAUAGAUAUAGAUAUAGAUAUAGAUAUAGAUAUAUAUGGAUAGUGGGCAAGGGUCUACAAAAAGAGGGGUUGUAAGGGAGGAAAGAGCCCCUUCAGGAGAAGGAGGCUGCUGCUGUGUGAAUUAGAUGAGGGAACAAGAUGAAAAAGAUCUGUUAACUCAGGAAGGGAGAGAGAGAGAGAGAGAGAGAGAGGAAAAAAGGGAGGGAAAGAAAGACAGAGGGGAAGAGCGAGAGAAAGAGAGAAAAAGAAGGGAGGGGAAGAGAGGCAGAAGGAAGGGCGAGGGACGGGCCUGAGCCUCUCAGCAGCCUGAGGGGAAUGAGCGGCCAUGGCAGCACUGGCAGCAAGGAAGGGCCCAGUCAACCACUGCUGCUGUUUUGGGCUACCGAGGCCAUUGGCGGAGGGAGGCAGGGAGGGAGGGAAGCAAGGGAUGGGCCUGUCAGCGGCCUGAGGGGAACAAGUGGCCAUGGCGGUGGCAGCAGCAAGGAAAGGCUCAUCAACCGCUUCUCCUGCUGCUCCUGUGGGGAGGAGAAGGAUCGGGGCUCAGGUGAGGGUAGAGAGAUCUCUGAGGUGAGGGGGGCUGAGGCAGGGAGAAAUCAAGUACUAGUGCGCAGAUGCUCUGUGUGGGUUAAGCUAGUUAUUUCACAUUUAGUCUGUUCUGAUUCAUUAGAUUUUAAAAGCAAAGACAUAAAAACAAUUGACUGAAACCACAGGGUUGGAUAACAUCAACAUCCGGACCAAGUGAGACCACCAAACGUGUGUGAAUAGCAGAAAGCGGUGGAGGCCAAGAAUGCGUCAUUUCCUUGAAAAAACAAGAAAGAUGUUAAAAUAAUAUUUAUAUUUUAAAUAAAUCUGAUAUACUAGAGUUAAACAUU
Hemicordylus capensis (graceful crag lizard) is the source of this 924-nucleotide long non-coding RNA. RefSeq lists it as uncharacterized. The record is from RefSeq and is a predicted model, not a curated record. The transcript has 2 exons. Lineage: Eukaryota; Metazoa; Chordata; Lepidosauria; Squamata; Cordylidae.